GGUUCCAUGUAAGGAUAUUGGACUCAAAUUCCAAUAGCCCAAGUUCAAAUCUUGGUGGAACGU
This 63-nucleotide transfer RNA is filed under the name Spinacia oleracea (spinach). It matches the Rfam family "tRNA". From Rfam's summary of the family: Transfer RNA (tRNA) molecules are approximately 80 nucleotides in length. Their secondary structure includes four short double-helical elements and three loops (D, anti-codon, and T loops). Further hydrogen bonds mediate the characteristic L-shaped molecular structure. tRNAs have two regions of fundamental functional importance: the anti-codon, which is responsible for specific mRNA codon recognition, and the 3' end, to which the tRNAs corresponding amino acid is attached (by aminoacyl-tRNA synthetases). tRNAs cope with the degeneracy of the genetic code in two manners: having more than one tRNA (with a specific anti-codon) for a particular amino acid; and 'wobble' base-pairing, i.e. permitting non-standard base-pairing at the 3rd anti-codon position. The record is from Rfam by way of RNAcentral. Lineage: Eukaryota; Viridiplantae; Streptophyta; Magnoliopsida; Caryophyllales; Amaranthaceae.